This 253-nucleotide ribosomal RNA is filed under the name uncultured bacterium. RNAcentral's name for it is "partial 16S ribosomal RNA". It matches the Rfam family "Bacterial small subunit ribosomal RNA", at positions 524 to 776 of the family's 1533-position model. The record is from RNAcentral.
GACGAAGGGGGCUAGCGUUGUUCGGAAUUACUGGGCGUAAAGCGAGUGUAGGCGGUUGUCAUAGUCAGGUGUGAAAGCCUUGAGCUCAACUCAAGAAUUGCACUUGAUACUGGGCGACUAGAGGACCGGAGAGGAUAGUGGAAUUCCCAGUGUAGUGGUGAAAUACGUAGAGAUUGGGAAGAACACCAGUGGCGAAGGCGGCUAUCUGGACGGUUACUGACGCUAAGACUCGAAAGCGUGGGGAGCAAACAGG